GAUGCAGUAUUUGAUUUUCUUGCUCCACAGUUAGCGUCCGUUUAGAAAGAAAUAUAACGGUAAGCAACCAAGGAAAAGAAUUAACGAUAAGCAACCUAUAUGCAAAUAAUUGGUGCAAGUUAAAAGAAAACUACAAACAUAGAGCAUCAGAACAGGACUGUGCAUUCUUGCUAGAAAAAGAAUGUUUUCAACGUGGUUACGGAUACUAUAGAUAAUAAGGAUAACAAUGUCUUGAUUAAUUUGGUCCAAUCUGCCCCAUCCCCUGCAUAUCGUCGUCCCUCCCUGGCCACUAUUUCCCAUUCAAUGCCCGGACUGCUGGGGAGUUCUUAGCCUGCAAGUAGUAUCAUAAUGCUGAUUACAGGCAUACAACGUGCACUCGAUAUCCAUAAUUAGGAAAUUAGUUCACAUUUUAGAUCCAUGUUCAUAGAAAUAGACACAUAGCAACUGACUGUCCAAAGGCCCAAGAAACAACAAUAUGGUGCUAACUCGCUCCAUUAUGUUCUACUCCCUCCGUUUCAAAUUAACCAUCUAGGACUGCAAGUUAGAAUUUUAUAAGACGGCCAAAAUUAGCUCAAAUUAUUUCUAGGAGAGGGCACCUCAAAAAUUUUAGUACUCCCUCCGUUCUCACAGGGGAGUGGGUUCCCGGCGCUACUGCCCGGCCACCCACUCCCCUAUCUCCACCAACUGAGGGCCGUUGUCGAUGCCGUGCGCGUUGGCUGCCGAUGAGGCUUGCUUGUAGUCCUGGCUGCCUGCUGCCCUGCUUGUAGUCCUCCUGUACCCUGGAGGGCGACGCCGUCAUCCAACAGAUAUGCAAACAGAGCAAGCAUGUUCGCAGACGACAUUUCACCCUCGAGCAUCGGUCGCCAGGCGCCACACUCGUCCUGCCACAAGACGACGAGCAGCCCGUUCGCGGACACUGCCGCCGACCUCGCGUUCGCGGACACUGCCGUCGGCUCGAGCAGUCAAGUUCCUGCAGCUGCUCGGCCGCGUCCGUCAGCGUCACUUCUCACUGCCACGGCUAGCUAGGAGGCGAAAGCAGCGGCGACCUCGAGCAGCGCGGUCACCAUGGAGCUUCGCCGCCGCGGCGUCCCGGCUCCUGAGCCAGAAAACAGCCAAGUCAGAUGGCAAUCAGGUCAAAUCCGGACCGCCCGUGUCGGAUCGGACGGACGCCAGAGACCCAAGGGUGGACGGUAAAUGAAAUACUGUCCGCCCCCUACGCUGCCGCUGGGCACGGCGUCCUCUGCUCCACCGGUUCCGCCUCGCAGGGCCGCCCAGCCCCCGGCUUGCAGCGACCAUCACGGUGACAUUUGUCCCCGCCGAGCAGCCACACAGACGUGGGUAUGACGGUCGUGUUGCCGACAUCGACGGCCUAACAAAACCUCGUUCCCGUCAAGUGACGACCGCGCCUACAUGCCUGCUGAGUGCCGACGAAGCCUCUCACCGGCGGCCGCGGAUCCCAUAUCCUGGCCUGAGUUUAGCCCGUUCACGGACGUAACGCAAAGUCAGCCAAAUUUUUCGAGCUGCAAAUUCAAAUUCAGUACCAAUUUCAGACAGUUAACCUUGUAUCAGGGAGCAUCAGCAUCGACAGCACGACUGCACGAGGUGGGUUAAUGGUGGAAUCGAUGCCGUCGCGCUUUCUCUCUUUCUUUUCUUAAUUGCGGUGCCCUCAUGCUUUUCUGCUGGCCAGCCGUCCCCUCGACUGCGACUCAUGUCGACAUGCACUAGCUCAUGUCUCUAUUAGAAUAUCAAUAAUGCGAGGCCAAAUUUGCAGCAAAAAAGCAGAUUCCAUUAGGAAGUUGCCUACCGGCUCAGGCUCCAGCUGAACAAGGCAUAAAGCAGUGCUAGCACGACUGCACGAGGUGGGUUAAUGGUGGAAUCGAUGCUGUCGCGCUUUCUCUCUUUCUUUUCUUAAUUGCGGUGCCCUCAUGCUUUUCUGCUGGCCAGCCGUCCCCUCGACUGCGAUUCAUGUCGACAUGCACUAGCUCAUGUCUCUAUUAGAAUAUCAAUAAUGCGAGGCCAAAUUUGCAGCAAAAAAGCAGAUUCCAUUAGGAAGUUGCCUACCGUCUCAGGCUCCAGCUGAACAAGGCAUAAAGCAGUGCUAGCCAAGGGAAGAACUCACAGCACCGUGCAGUGGUGUCCACGACUUCAAUUGCAGAGCAAGCCCUUGAAGCAUCACCGCCGUGCUCUAACCGGUCCAGCCGUGCUUGGCUGCGACAUUUGAGGUGGUGGUGUUUUCCUGCAAAAUAACUCAUCAGCAUGCCGUACAGUGGUUGUUGAGCGAAUGCUAGCACUGCCAAUAAGUUAGGUUCAGUGUAACGAACGUGACACCAUUUAUGUCAUUUCGAGUGAUUUUGUGCAAACUAGUUCGAGCCAUAGGUUUAAGUUUUUAGAGUGCCUAAUUCACCCCCUCCCCAUCUUAGGCUAGAGCACCCGAUUCCUUUCAUUCAGCAGUUUGGAUAAAACAAUUACCAUCUACAAAUUUGCCCUUUUUUUAUAAUGUCUAAUUGACCCUUUAGAUUAGCAAGCAAAUCAUCCCUGGGUUUAUACAUAUCGGCAGUUUUCUGAUCCAUAAUAGAUGAUAAUUGGCUGAGCAAGUCGGGAGAUGAGGUGCUUACAUCGCUUAUUACCUCGACUUGCUUAUUUUUGAGCGUGAAGGAGGGCAUCACGAAGUCUUGAGCCCUCGUGACUUGGCCUUUCUGAUCUUUUUUGAACCCCUUCAAGAAUUGUGCCUUGAAGUGCUCCCUGGCCACCAAAUAAUCUUGAUGCUUCUCCUCGCUAAGUUCCUCGAAAGAUGUAGAGAUGAUGUUGCCCUCGUCGAGAAUUUGGUCACACACUCGAAUGCGCUAGAACGCGCAGCAAGAUCGUCAAAACGAUCAACACCAGCAGCCUCUUUGCGCAGACCGGUCAGACCAGUUAUGCGAACCGGUCAGACCGGUGCUCUAGGGAGACGGCGAAAACCGAGAACCACAAGCUCGGGAGGGACCCUGUCGGAGCUUGAAGAUCUAGGGUUAUUCUGAGGUCGGCAUGCCACUCAGAACGCCCUCGAACGCCGUAGAGAUGCAAGAAGAACAUCAGAUGGGGUUGGAAAAAUUAGGGUUUGGAGAUGAAAAGUAAAGUACUAAUUAUUCAAUCGAUUGAGAUUACCUUCAAACAGCAAAGAUUUCUUAAUACAAAAUCUAAAUCUACUCGGACUCUACAAGCCUGA
Long non-coding RNA from Panicum virgatum (switchgrass), 3205 nucleotides. RefSeq lists it as uncharacterized. The record is from RefSeq and is a predicted model, not a curated record. Lineage: Eukaryota; Viridiplantae; Streptophyta; Magnoliopsida; Poales; Poaceae. The transcript is spliced from 3 exons.